UACGUAGGUGGCAAGCGUUAUCCGGAUUUACUGGGUGUAAAGGGCGUGUAGGCGGCUUUGCAAGUCAGAAGUGAAAUCCAUGGGCUUAACCCAUGAACUGCUUUUGAAACUGCAGAGCUUGAGUGGAGUAGAGGUAGGCGGAAUUCCCGGUGUAGCGGUGAAAUGCGUAGAGAUCGGGAGGAACACCAGUGGCGAAGGCGGCCUGCUGGGCUCUAACUGACGCUGAGGCACGAAAGCGUGGGUAGCAAACAGG
RNAcentral lists this ribosomal RNA (253 nucleotides) under uncultured bacterium. Its description in RNAcentral is "partial 16S ribosomal RNA". It matches the Rfam family "Bacterial small subunit ribosomal RNA", at positions 524 to 776 of the family's 1533-position model. The record is from RNAcentral.